GACGAACGCUGGCGGCGUGGAUUAGGCAUGCAAGUCGAACGGUAUCAUCCUUUCGGGGGUGAGAGAGUGGCGAACUGGUGAGUAACACGUAGGUUAUCUACCCUCAAGACGGGGACAACCCAGGGAAACUUGGGCUAAUACCGGAUGUGAGCAACUUUUAGUUGUUUGAAAGGUGGCGUAAGCUGUCGCUUGGGGAUGAGCCUGCGUCCUAUUAGUUAGUUGGUGAGGUAACGGCUCACCUAGGCAAUGAUAGGUAGGCGGCCUUAACGGGUGGUCGCCCACACUGGGAUUGAGAUACGGCCCAGACUCCUACGGGAGGCAGCAGUCGAGAAUAGUCUACAAUGGUCGGAAGACUGAUAGUGCGACGCCGCGUGAACGAUGAAUCCCUUCGGGGUGUAAAGUUCUUUUAUAUGUGAGCAGUGCUUCUUAAUAUUAAACAGUAUGGGGAGAGAGAUAUUAGCAUAUGAAUAAGCAACGGCUAACUCCGUGCCAGCAGCCGACGGUAAACUCGU
Molecule: ribosomal RNA, 512 nt
Filed under: uncultured bacterium
Lineage: Bacteria
Description: bacterial SSU rRNA
Rfam family: Bacterial small subunit ribosomal RNA
Source: RNAcentral